GACUUGGGUGUUGCCGCUCUGCCGGCUCGCCUUAAAAGACUUAGCGGGAUAGCACCGUAGUCGGCGUAAUAAGUUUCGUCGGUGAAGGUUGUGAUGACUGCUUACAAUCGCCCUCGGGCAAUUUUUGACUCUGACCUCAAAUCAGGUAGGACUACCCGCUGAACUUAAGCAUAUCAAUAAGCGGAGGAAAAGAAACUAACAAGGAUUCCCUUAGUAGCGGCGAGCGAAGCGGGAAGAGCUCAAAUUUGAAAGCUGGCGUCCUACGGGCGUCCGCAUUGUAAUCUAUAGAGGCGUUUUCUGUGCUGGACCGUGUCCAAGUCCCUUGGAACAGGGUAUCAAAGAGGGUGACAAUCCCGUACUUGACACGACAACCAGUGCUCUGUGAUACGUCUUCUACGAGUCGAGUUGUUUGGGAAUGCAGCUCAAAAUGGGUGGUGAAUUCCAUCUAAAGCUAAAUAUUGGCGAGAGACCGAUAGCGAACAAGUACCGUGAGGGAAAGAUGAAAAGCACUUUGGAAAGAGAGUUAAACAGUAUGUGAAAUUGUUGAAAGGGAAACGAUGGAGGUCAGUCGUGUCUGUGGGAUUCAGCCGUCUCUGGCGGUGUACUUCCCACAGACGGGUCAACAUCAGUUUUGGCUGGCGGAUAAAGGCAGGAGGAAGGUGGCACCCCCGGGUGUGUUAUAGCCUCUUGUUGCAUACGCUGGCUGAGACUGAGGAAUGCAGCUCGCCUUUAUGGCCGGGG
This 741-nucleotide ribosomal RNA is filed under the name Saitozyma podzolica. Its description in RNAcentral is "eukaryotic LSU rRNA". The stretch from base 132 to 741 matches the Rfam family "Eukaryotic large subunit ribosomal RNA", at positions 1 to 623 of the family's 3401-position model. Lineage: Eukaryota; Fungi; Basidiomycota; Tremellomycetes; Tremellales; Trimorphomycetaceae. The record is from RNAcentral.